RNAcentral lists this small RNA (530 nucleotides) under Histoplasma ohiense. Its description in RNAcentral is "hypothetical lncRNA". Lineage: Eukaryota; Fungi; Ascomycota; Eurotiomycetes; Onygenales; Ajellomycetaceae. The record is from RNAcentral.
AAGCAAGAUCCGAUGAUUACAGAGGGUCGAGUAUAGGGUGCUUAUACAUACUAGCACCUGCCAAGGCCCCCGACAUCUAGGGGGCCACCCCAACAACAGGGAAUGAUUUUAAAAACCAUCCGAUUGGCUGCCUCAUCAGAGGGGUAGUAGCAAGCCAAGCAGGACACCCUGGUAGGCGCCCUAUUCAGAGCCCACUAGUGGUCAUCUAACACUAUUAGUGGGUUAUCAUCAGGUGGGGUAAGCCUAUGGUUAGUCCCUUACACGGGGCAAGGCCACGACGGCUGGUUGGUAGGCCAAGGGGGCAAUGGGCCGAGAUCGGCAACUGGAAGCUCUGGGCUAUGGUGAUGCCUAGGGUGGGCAGUGGCGCUUAACUAGGACCCCCGCUGGAAACCCCAGAACUAGUUAAAGCGGCCCGAGAGGACGGACGCGGUGGUCGGUUGGUUAUAGAGGUUAUAAUAUGUAACUAGCUUAAGGUGCAUCCUGCGUGGAAUAGCCACGUAGUCUGCUUUCAAAGAAUUGUAACAUGGGCU